UUCCGGUUGAUCCCGCCGGACCUGACUGCUAUCGGAUUGAUACUAAGCCAUGCGAGUCAUUGUAGCAAUACAAGGCAGACGGCUCAGUAACGCGUAGUCAACCUACCCUAUGGACGGGAAUAACCUCGGGAAACUGAGUAUAAUGCCCGAUAGAACACUAUGCCUGGAAUGGUUUGUGUUCCAAAUGAUUUAUCGCCAUAGGAUGGGACUGCGGCCUAUCAGUUUGUUGGUGAGGUAAUGGCCCACCAAGACUAUUACAGGUACGGGCUCUGAGAGGAGUGGCCCGGAGAUGGGUACUGAGACACGGACCCAGGCCCUAUGGGGCGCAGCAGGCGAGAAAACUUUGCAAUGUGCGAAAGCACGACAAGGUUAAUCCGAGUGGUUUCUGCUAAAGGAACCUUUUGUUAGUCAUAGAACCACUAAUGAAUAAGGGGUGGGCAAGUUCUGGUGUCAGCCGCCGCGGUAAAACCAGCACCUCAAGUGGUCAGGAUGAUUAUUGGGCCUAAAGCAUCCGUAGCCGGCUCUGUAAGUUUUCGGUUAAAUCUGUACGCUCAACGUACAGGCUGCCGGGAAUACUGCAGAGCUAGGGAGUGGGAGAGGUAGACGGUACUCGGUAGGAAGGGGUAAAAUCCUUUGAUCUAUUGAUGACCACCUGUGGCGAAGGCGGUCUACCAGAACACGUCCGACGGUGAGGGAUGAAAGCUGGGGGAGCAAACCGGAUUAGAUACCCGGGUAGUCCCAGCUGUAAACUAUGCAAACUCAGUGAUGCAUUGGCUUGUGGCCAAUGCAGUGCUGCAGGGAAGCCGUU
This 808-nucleotide ribosomal RNA is filed under the name uncultured archaeon. Its description in RNAcentral is "bacterial SSU rRNA". It matches the Rfam family "Archaeal small subunit ribosomal RNA", at positions 1 to 816 of the family's 1478-position model. The record is from RNAcentral.